This 285-nucleotide unclassified non-coding RNA is filed under the name Calyptella sp. RNAcentral's name for it is "partial contains 5.8S ribosomal RNA, internal transcribed spacer 2, and large subunit ribosomal RNA". The record is from RNAcentral. Lineage: Eukaryota; Fungi; Basidiomycota; Agaricomycetes; Agaricales; Porotheleaceae.
CGCACCUUGCACUCCUUGGUAUUCCGAGGAGUAUGCCUGUUUGAGUGUCAUUAAAUUCUCAAACCUUUUACUUGUUUCACAAGUUAGAAGGCUUUGGAUGUGGGGGUUGCUGGAUUCUAACGAAGUCAGCUCUCCUUAAAAACAUUAGUGGUUAUAGAUCCCAUUACUUGGUGUGAUAAUUAUCUACGCCUCGCAAGAAAGAUCAUAUGUAGCUGCUUUCAAACCGUCGAAAGACAACUUGAACCAUUUGACCUCAAAUCAGGUAGGACUACCCGCUGAACUUAA